This 242-nucleotide ribosomal RNA is filed under the name uncultured bacterium. RNAcentral describes it as "partial 16S ribosomal RNA". It matches the Rfam family "Bacterial small subunit ribosomal RNA", at positions 535 to 776 of the family's 1533-position model. The record is from RNAcentral.
CAAGCGUUGUUCGGAUUUACUGGGCGUAAAGGGCGCGUAGGCGGCAAUUCAAGUCACUUGUGAAAUCUCCGAGCUUAACUCGGAACGGUCAAGUGAUACUGCUUUGCUAGAGUGCAGAAGGGGCAACCGGAAUUCUUGGUGUAGCGGUGAAAUGCGUAGAUAUCAAGAGGAACACCGGAGGUGAAGACGGGUUGCUGGGCUGACACUGACGCUGAGGCGCGAAAGCUAGGGUAGCAAACGGG